GCUGUGCUCAGCCGGGAGCAGAGCGGACAGCGCCAGCCUGAGCGGAGCACCGUGCGUCCCCACCCGCCGGGCCAGGUACCGCUGGGGGCGCCGACCCCCAGUCCAGGGCACCGGGCGGGCAGAGCUCUACUGUGCACCCUCCCGUCCGUAGCUGGGCUCUGGGCAGCGCCUGUUACCCGUCCCGUCCCGGGCAGACACCCCAGCCUCCCGCGAGCCAGAACCCCGCGCGCUCUGGGCUCAGUCCGGGGACUCGCCACUCAGGGGUCAGUUCUGAGCUUGAACUGGUAUCCUGGGAAAGGCAUUUCGCCGCCUCAGGGCCUGUCGGCAGGGCCAGGAGGGACAGCAGGAGGUCAGCAGCACUCGGGGCUGGGGCCACAGGACGCCUUGUUGGGGGCUCGGGCGGUGAGCGAUGGGCUUCCCGAGGCAGGGCCCACGGGGACUAGCUAGAGAGGGUCCCGGAGGGGGGCCUAAAAGGGCCCGGGAGCGGGCUCUGGAGCGCUGCCCCGACGGGCGCCUGACAGGCAAAUCUGCCCGGCUGGCACACCGGGAGUCUGGGUAUAUUUAUCCCGGCUGCGUUGGGCAGGGGCUUGAGGGCAGAUCGGGCCAGGCUGCCUGAGGGGCCGUGGGGCACAUGUUGGUCCCAGAGUCCGUGCCAUUUGCAGCCGGGCCAGCGGGCACGGCAGGAACAGGGCGCGUGUGGCUCCCUGGCCUGAGGGCGGGGCUCUGUGUGCUCUCCUUGCUGCCUCAUUCCCCGGUGGGGGUAUAAGAGCUGGCGCCGCGCACGCGGGCGGAGGGAAAGGACCAAAACCGGGUUUGCAGGAGCCCGCCCCCGUUCCAUUGGCCCCUUCGAUUGGCCACAGCGAAUGCGUGCGUUUGUUUACACCCGGGGAGGGGGAGGCCAGGGGCGGGGCCUGUGGGAAUCCGCCCUCUCCCCCCAGGGUGACCUGAGCGCUGAGCUCAGGUGUAAGCUCUAGGACAAGUCUGAAAGGGACUAAGUCAAAGGUCCUUGCACCUUGCACCCUGGGGGACUCCUGGACCCAGGCCCAUCCUUCCUUCAGUCGCCCAGUCCUGUCCUUUCUUCCAUGACUUCCUUGGGCCACUGUUCUGGAAGAGGCCUUUGGACCUUCCACCCCUUCCUCUUCAGUAAACAGUUGCAUGGGAGUUCAGUUCCUUCAAGAAAGGAAGAAAACUCUUCAGAGCUUUUCAGUCUGGAGCCUAGAAAGCUGAAGAGAUCUGGGGACAGUUCCAUUUUGAGAUGGGGAAGUUCUGCACAACCAUGGAAGUCUUCCUGCAGGAAGCACUAGAUGUAGGAGGAAUCAGGGUGGGUGAGGCCAGGCGUGGCACAUCUCCAAGAGGGCUGGAAUGACUGGAAUCAUUCCAUGAGAGUCUCUGACCCUUUGGGGUUGGGGACAGGGGACUGGUUCUCUGGGGAGGGGAGGGGUAUAUGUCUCAGAACCUCACUCUGCCUGAGCUCAUAGAGGCCAUGUCCUCACUGGCUUCUCAAACCACUCUUUCUUCAGUACUGGUUCUUUUGGCCCUCAUCACAACCUCACCACACACACCCAGUCCAGGGCUCAAGGUGGCCAGACCAUGAGAAUCAGUUGCUCCUGUCCUGGUGCCUGCUGCCCUAGCAAGUAGCCAUGGAACCUUGGGCAAAUAGAGAAAAUGAGGCACAACAGGUCUCUGGGUAGUGUCGGGGAAGGUUUUUGAGCUAAACUAAGUGUACCCUGAAAGUCCAGGCUGGGUGUGGAACAAACAGGCACUCAUUCUAAGGGGAAAGCAUGUUUUAGGGGAGUGGUUGGCUGCAAGGGAGGUACAGUUUGGUAUCUGUGUGCACAGAAAGCCUGUGUGGGAUGUGUAUACUAUGCUGUAGUAAGAUAGGAGCUCUGCAGGCACAUGAUCUAGUUCAGACAUGACCAGGGUCCAGGGGCCACUUGGAGCUGGGUUGAGAUGGGUUGGGGGCUUGCCAAGGGCCUUGAACCCAUUCUAUUCCUUUUACAACAUUUGCUGAGCACCUACUAUGUGCCCUGCAAACAUUCAGUCUGGUGAGUGGAGGGCUGGCCUUUGACUCUGGAUAAGAAGACAGAUGCGGUGGUGGGGUGGGGAGGACUCUAGAAGACCAGGCGGGGCUUCUGGGGGCCAAAGGGAAGGACCAGCUGCUGGGGCAGGAGGGGCUUUCCGGUCAGCGGCCUGGGGUGGCUUGGUUUUGAAUUUCCGCUCUGCGGGCCACGUCCUGUACACAGCCUCUCAGCCGGCACGUCUGCACACGUGCAUGACUGCUGAGAAUGGGGGUCACCAUCACCUCUGUGUAUCUUUUCCAUUGUGUGGGUAGACAGUGCUGGACUGGGGAGUGGUGAGCUUUCCAGCUGGGCCUGGACCUGCAGCCCUAGUGGGCUCAGACCCGCUGUCUGGAUGUCCCUGCACCUAGCUAAUGGAGGCAUAACCUGCUCUUGUAGGAACCUGCAGAUGCUGGGCAGCCUUCUUGUGGGGUCCUCCAGGGUUCUGCCUGGCCAUCCCUGAAGUGCCCACUGGGCCUGCAGCCCACUCGCCUGGGCCUCUGGCUCCCUCUUCCCUCUCACUCCUUCUGGGGUCCUCUCUGUCUUUCGUUGGCUGUCUCCCUGUCUCUCUGUCUCUUUUUCCAUUUAGCUAUCUCUGGCUGGUUGGCCAUCGCUGUCUCUCAGCUCUCUGGUUGUCUGUCUCUCUCUGUCUCCCUGUCUGAAUGUGUAUCCACCUUCUUCUGUGUGUAUUUUCCUGUUGGUGUACCUUUAUAUCCAUCUGCAUUUCUCUAUCUCCCUGUGCCUCUCUGUCUCUUUUUCUGUCCAGAUCAGUAUUCAUGCACUGCAUGUAUGUGUUUUCUGCCCUUCCUCUUUCCUUGCCCCUCUCUUCCCUCCCUCUGCCGCUCUGCUUCUGCCUGACAUUGAAUGGUGCCUCUCCUCCAGGCCAACCUUGCCUUUAGCCCCUCCCCCCUUCCACUGGGGUCUCCAAUGAGUCCUGAGCUGCCCCAGGCCCCUGCUCCAGCUUUCCUUGGGGCCAGAAGUCCGGCUGUCCAAAUAUUUGGCCGCCUCCAGGGGAUUCCGGGUCAGCAGGGAGGAGGAUGGGCUGGCUGGCUCGGGGUCUCCCCUGCCCCUGGGGGGCCACAGGCACGUGAUGUCCUGUCCUUUGCCUUGGCUGGGCCUCCAGCUGCACGUCCCUCUCAGCGGGCUGGCAAUGGGGGGAGGGGGCUGCUGCUGGCUCUGGCCCAGUCUUGACCAAGAGGUUCCAGCUGCAGCCUCCACUGGGGGAGCAAGGAGGGUCCUGGGCUGGGUGGGAGGGGAGGCCUAGGGGUCUGGGGCAAGGUCCAACUCCAGGCAUCUGUUGGGUGUCUAGCAAAUGUACCCUGUCACAGGAAAGUCCAACUUCCGGCCCCAGCUGGGCCCCUCAGAUCCUCCUAGACACUUCCGGAUGCCCAGAACACAGAAGCACAGACCCCACACACCAGGGCCAAGGAGCUAAACUAUGAGGGAUCGGUGUUGCCAACACAUCAAUGUUCUGGGCCAUCUUCCUUUCCUUGGAUGUGCCCUCUCCUCCAUACCACCCCCCUCAGUACCAGCCAGGUGUUGACCUUGCAGUGGCCAUUUGCCCAGUGUUGUUGAUGAUGAAGGAGCAGUGGAAGGGGUACUGGAUCUACCGAGGUCAAAAUCUGGAGUUGUGCGUCUGGAGGAAGAGCUAGGGGUGCACAGGGCUGUAGUAUUCUCCCCUGUUCAGAACACCCUUCCAUAUGCCCUAGCCCUAGCCCCCUGACCUCAGCAAUGAUCUCCUCACCAAUCCCUGGGGCUGUGCCUUGAGAACAUAUAAUUCAGACAUGUCCAUUGAAUCUAGUUUCCUUGUUGACUGACAGCUUGUCCUAAGAUGAUGUUCUCCUUCUGAAGCCUGGAGAAGAAGGUGGGCAGGGAGUGCCAAGAUAGGAGGGGCACCUUGUCUCAGCCAGGAGGGGACUAAGGAUGGCUGAGCUGGAACUGAGAGCAGCCUUCAUCCCUGAGCCUCCAGGGAUAACCACAACAGACCCUCAGGCCAGACCAGCUGCCUCUCCCCUGAGAUCUGGGCUGAGGCUAGGACUUCCCAGGCACCAGAAGCCUGGGGACCAUGGCAACAAGUUCUAUGGGGUCUGUGCCUCGAUCAGCACAGACGGCCAGGAAGGACUGAGGGAAGAACAGUGUGGAUGCCUCCCUGUAGCCAGCCUGACACUGCAGACCCAUUUAUGUCCCUGAGCAUUAGGGAGGAAAGCAGGGCUCAAGUCCCUGGUGGUUCCAAGGACCUCAAUCCUGGGACAGAGAGGUAUGUGUCCUACAGCAGCUGAUGCAAGCAGUGGGCCUGUGGUGGCCUGGAUUCCUGGGCCUCGAAAUCUUUAAUUAGCCAAACUCAACACCUGCCAAGGUGUGCCUGACAAGUUCUCACCCUGUGAUGCCCGCGUGGGCGAGCGUUACCUACUGCACUAUCCCUGUGGCUCCUGGCCUCUCCUAGCCCUUAUCUCCCAGCAGAGCAAACAGGGCCCAGGGCAGUGGCCCAGGCCAUCGAUUUCCUGCCCAAGUCCAUUCUGCACCCAUGACCGAUGCUAUUCUGAUGAUCUGCCCAAGGUCGCAGUGACAGCCCCACACUAGAACCUGACCCCUCUCUGGAAGCCCAUGGCAUGGUCUGGGACAAAGGCCUUGGAGAGGAUCCUCACUCUGUCCCCAGCUUUGCCAAACUUCUGGGGACCUCUGCAGGGCAGGAGGACACUGAGGUCCUGAGUGGGGAAUACUCUACCCGUGGUCACACAGUAAGGCAGGGCCAGGCCAGGACUCAGACUCCGAAUGUCCACUGUGGACUUUCUCAACAGUGGGUCAGAUUCUGCUGGCAGAUUUCCCUGAGUCCACCCUGACUCCCUGAUACAAAGGAGCCUGGGAGGUGGUAGGCCUGAGGGAUGGGAACUGUCAGAAAUGGGCUGCCAGCCUCAGGGAAUGGCUGAGAGUCCACAUGCCAGGCUAGCACUCCACUCUGGCUGCUUAGCCCUUAGCCCUGCCCUACACUGAAGUACAGACUCAUUGACCUGGCCUUCAAGGCUUUGUCAGGUUUGUCUAUAGCCAUGGAACCUUCAUUCUGCCUCAUACCACACCUUAGAGCCUUUGCCCAUGCUGUGCCCUCUGCUUAAGGCAUUCUUUGCUAUUCCACACUUUUGGGACUCCUGGAAUUUCAGAAAUGGCUCCAUCACCUCCUCUGCCAGGAAGCCUUCCUUGAUGCCUCUCUCCCCCCUUUUUUGAGUCCCAGCACUAUGUGGCUCAUAUUUAGUUGUUGCAGGAACUAUAAGGUGGGGGCUAUGUUUGGGGAUUUUGUCCCUUCCAGACCAGAAGCCAUUUAGGGAAGGAUAUUCCAUGUCCUCUCUGGGACCUCAAACCAGCCCAAGAUCCAGCAGUGACUGGUUUUGAGUAUCAGACAGGCUGUGAAGGUCUAGGUGUAGGUCCUGCUGGGGGGAUGGGGAACCUGGAUACAGGAACUCGGGCACUUUGGCCAUGACCAUGCCGUGGGCUGUGGUCUCCCUGGAGGUAGUGCUGGCUGCUAGGGAAGGAUAUUAAGGCAGAGAAGGGUGCUUUGUCCAAGCUGCCAACUCAGCACACUCUGAGGGCCUGUCCCAGCCUGCCCAGGGUGGGAGGCCCGAAAAGGACAACCCUAGCUGAGAGCCAGGGGGCACUCUGGAGUGACUCUGGAGAUGAGGUGCUGGCAUCUCCACAUCCAGCUGGGAUCCUUGGAGAGGUGCUGAUAGUGAGGCUUAGGGCAGAGACUCAUCCAGGGGAAGAGGGCACGAGAGAUGUUCACAUUGUCAUGGACCUGAAUGGACAGGGCUGGAGGUGAGAUGGGUUCAGAUGCCAGCAUCAGAAGAAAGAGAGGCAGGCCGAGGGGGCCCGAGGGUUCCAAGUGUGGAGUCUCCAGGACCGAGGUUCCUGGGAUCUGAACUCUGGCCUGGGGCUGCCUGGGGCAAUGGUGGGCUGGUCCUUUAGUCAGUUCUGUGUGGCUGCUGCCUCCAGGACACUGGGGCCUGAGGCCUGAACCCAGCCUUCUGUCCCCACACAUAGCCCCAAGUGCUAAGAACACUGGUGUUCUGGGUUCUAAGUAGACCUGAGACCAUCAGGAUCCGGAGUGGGGAUGGGGGGUUCAGGGCGGGAUUCAGGAUUCCCAAGCAGAGAGCUUGUCAUGGCACCAAGCCUAGGCUCCGAUAGGGACACCUGGCUGGCUCAGUCAGUAGAGCAGGUCACUCUUGAUCUCAGAGUUGUAUGUUUGAGCCCCAUGUUGAGUGUAGUGAUUACUUAAAAUUAAAAUCUUUUUUUUUAAAUUAAAAUCUUAAAAAAACAAAACAAAAAACAGGCUAGGCUGUGGCUGACCUGCAUGGCAGUGCUGCCCCCUCCCUGGUCUCGACUAGAGUCUUAGCUCUCCUUCUGGCCUCUCUGGCCUUCAGGAUGUCCUUAUAGAUCCUGGGGCACUGUGCCAGGUACCUUCUGGGCAUGGGGUAGGUGGCUUCCAGCCCCAGUGAUUGGGGGGGGGGAGCUGGCUCCUUAGAGGCCCAGCAGAGCCAUGCCCUGAGGGCAGGAAAGGGAGGACUGAUCCAGUGGCCUAGACUCCUCUACAGCUGCCUAAGACCCUGAGUUCCUGGCCUGGGGUUCUAGGAAAUGGAGAAUCUGCUCCAAUGGUCCACUACUGGAGGGUGGUCACCUAAGGGGUAGGGGUAUUCCCCCUAGCCCCUAGCAGGGGAAGAGAAGCUUGAAGGAGAACAUGGCCCUGAGGUCAUGGCUGUGUGGAGAGUGAGGCCUGUGUGGCUCAGAGAAUUCGGCCCUGGGACGCUCGUUUCCUGGAUGGCCCCCUGAGGGCCCUUUGCAGCCAGGCGGGCAGGGCCCAGGUGUCCAGCCACCCAGCACCGCCUCAGGCCUCCUGGCUCCGGGGGGGUAGCCUUUGCGCCUGCCGUUCCCAGCGCCAGCUCUCAGACCACAGAAGGCCCUUUGUUCUGGCUGCCAGCAGUGCCCGCCGGGCGGCUGGGAACAGGGCCCACAGCCCUCACCCUCUCCCAAGGCCUCCAGCCGUCGGGCAGUGCCAUUCUAGGUUGGCUAGGAGGCCCCUGGCACACAGGGCCGGCACAGGAAACCGUCUCCCGGUGUUAAUGUCAGGGAGGGGGUGUCAAUCCAGGGCCCACCACCAGCGCGGGGUCUGGAUUCCUGGGACUCAGCAUCCUGGGGUCCAGGCACCACUGGACUCUGAACUCAGGUCAUCCAGCUGAUCCUCACUUCGCAGAUGGAGAAACUGAGGUCCCAAGGGCUUGCCUGGACUGGUAUGUGAGUGGUGGGGGGAGUGCUACGUACUGGCCAAGGUGUCCCAUCAGGAUGUCUUGGAGAACUCAGGUAUCUGAGCUCUACUCCCCCAAAAGCAGGUCCCGGGGAGGCAGCAGGCACAGCUGCAUGUGCACAUAAAUCCUGAGUGAGCUUCUGGGAGGUGUGAUAGGCUGUAGACUCCCCAUGGGAGGCUGGGCCAUGGGUCCUGGGAGAAGGGAUAACCAGAGGGACCAUUGCUCUGCAGACCUUUGACUUGUGUUGGUGUGAGAGUCAGUGCUCCGGGUGGCAGACCCUGACCAUGGAGGCACCUCUGCAGACGGAAAUGGUGGAGCUGGUGCCCAACGGCAAACACUCAGAGGGGCUGCUCCCAGUCACCACCCCCACGGCUGUCAACCAGAGGUGAGCAGAGGGACCCAGUCGUGGUCAGGGCAGGGCAGGGUGCAGAGCAAGGGCCGGAGCUGAGCUGACUGCUCUGGCCUGUGCCUACAGGGUCGAAGGCCCCAGACGGAGCUGUGUUGAGGGCGAGGGCUUCCUACAGAAAAACCCCAGCAAGGAGCCACACUUCACAGACGUGAGCUGGAGGGCACAGUGGGGUGGGGGGCUUGGGAGAUUUCACGCAGUAACAAAGAGCUCUGGGGCAGCAACGGGAGGUUAAGGGACAGUGAGGGGGAAUGUUGGGAUACCCUCCAUGCGUCGCUGUCUCUCCCCCCUGCCCCCAUCUCACUCUGGUGCCUGCAGUUUGUGGGGAAGACUUCAUUUGGGAUGUCAGUGUUCAACCUCAGCAACGCCAUCAUGGGCAGUGGCAUCCUGGGACUCGCCUAUGCCAUGGCCAACACAGGCAUCGUCCUUUUCCUGUGAGUGCCUUCAGUGAACCCUCUAAAGACAGGAGCUCUAAACAGUCCACCAACCAUGACCUCCCAGGACCCAGGCUGUGGGUGGGCUCAACCCAAACCAUGGCUAAAAAAACCAGCCAUGGCCAGACAAAUAUCCCUCAUUUCCUGGUAAACCCACUGAGAUUAUGACACAGGCAAGCCUAACAGACCUGAAUCUAUACUUCUACCACCGUUUACACAUGAUGAACGAAGCCCCAUGGCCAGGCCUUGUGUGGACACACGUGUCCUUACUUGGGACCUCUGCCCUGCAGUCUAAAUGGAAAGCAUGUUUGUUCCAAGAACUCAAGGAGGUAGUGCUCAGAGGACCCCUUCUAGGUCAUGGCUUACCCUGGGUCAAACUGAGCGGUGUUCGCCCCUGCCGGGGCCAGUUGAGCUUGCAUCCACACCUGUUGGGGGCUCCAAACACCUGGGUCACAGACCCACACACCCAGGCCUCCCAGAGCUCACCACCCCUGCCAGCCAGUGAAGCCCUCAGUGGCUCCUUUUCACCCAUCUUCCCCAGGUUCCUGUUGACAGCCGUCGCCCUGCUCUCCAGCUACUCCAUCCACCUGCUACUCAAGUCCUCAGGGAUCGUGGGUGAGCCCCCAACCCAGCCUGGAGCAGGGGAGGGCUGGGCUGGGGAGAGCACUCCUGACUAUUUUGACUCCUGUCCCCACAGGUAUCCGUGCCUAUGAGCAGCUAGGCUACCGUGCCUUUGGGACCCCAGGAAAGCUGGCAGCGGCCCUGGCCAUCACACUGCAGAAUAUUGGAGGUGAGCCUGGCAGGCAGACCCAGACAGGUGGUGGGCAGGUGGGCGGGCUGAAGACUGGCUGGUUUGGCUGACCCCAGCACCUGCCCGCCUCUCUCCCCCCAGCCAUGUCCAGCUACCUGUACAUCAUCAAGUCCGAGCUGCCCCUUGUCAUACAGACCUUCCUGAACCUGGAGGAGCAAACUUCGUGAGCCCCAGGGUGGGGCGGGGCUGGGUGAGGGUAGGAGGGAGGCCUUGGUCUACCCCUCCAUAUGCACCACUGGCCCUGGGAACCCAGGCUGGGCUAGUGGGAGAGAUGAGACAGUGCCUGCAAGUGACUGGUGGAGGGGCAGAGAGCUGCCAACAGAGCUAACAUUCAGUCUACACUCCUUUAGCACCUAGGGGAACCCCCUAGGAGGGCCAGAUGAGGUGAGAGGUGGGGUGAGGCUGAGGAACCUGGGCCCCACCUGGGCCAGGACACAGCCUAUGAGAAAAGGAGAACCUGAGAGCUUCGGGCUUAGCUCUAAGCACCUGCUAUUCCUGACCAGGGCUUGGGCUUUAGCGCCUGCCACCCCCUCCCCCCUCCCCGCCUUCCCCCCCCUCUCCCCCCCCCUCCCCCCCCCCCCCCCCCCGCCCAACCAAGAAAUUAAGCCCGUGGUGUCCCAGUUGCUCUCAUCAGUUUAGCCAGCACUGAUGGAAUCAACCAUGUUUUGUGGGUGGGGACAGAGAAGACAGCCAUGCCCUGCCCUUGGCCACGCAGCCCAGGCAAGCAGAGGGGGUUUGAAGUUGAGAGCAGCUCUGGGAGGAGGAAAACAGCCAGGAUUCUUCCCCCUGAGUCCUGGGUGCCCUUCCCAAGGAGUUGGCCUUUGGGCUUCCCUGGGAAGGAGGGUCUCCUUCCUUAUCCUUUGAGUUCUCUGCGCCAUUGGUGGUGGGGGGUGCAGGAUGGUGCAGGAUGCAGAUGCCAGGAGGGACCACAAGGGGUACAGGAUGUUGGAAAGUCCCUGACACCCCCAUGGAAAAUGCUCCACCUCCCCAGAGCCAGGGUCUUUCAUCCCACCCACCUCCCUGGGCCCCUUGGGGCCACCCCCUGGGGAAGCUGGACCCAGACCUGUGUGUCUUGAGAAAAACAGCAGCAGUGACUAUAGCCCUAAUGGCUACCAAGCAGGAGCUGAGCUCCUUAGUUCUCCCCUCGCCUAGGCCAGUGCUGAGAGAAUGUCCAUUUUGCAGACUCCGAGCUAUGAACAAGUAUUUUUUAGGUGGCCCCGAUUAGGUAUGGAGGCAGGCGGCCUCACCCAAGGCUGAGUGGACUCUGAUGUUGGCUCCCCACUCCUAUUCCUGCAGGGACUGGUACAUGAAUGGGAACUACCUGGUGAUCCUUGUUUCUGUCAUCGUCAUUCUGCCCCUGGCACUGAUGCGGCAGCUUGGUGAGUGUGGCAGGGCUAGGGCCUUGGAGGGGAAUGUUGGAGAAAUGCCUGGGAAGGGACCCCAGUCUCACAGCCCUUCCCCCACGUUGCAGGCUACCUGGGUUACUCCAGCGGCUUCUCUCUCAGCUGCAUGGUGUUCUUCCUAAUUGCAGUGAGUCACUUUCUGUGCUGGUGGAGUGAGGGGACAAGUCUCUUGGGGGGCUCCUCUGUCGGGGCAGGGGGCAGGUCUUUCUGGGAAGCCUGGGUCAGAAGGCAGCUCCUUCUGUCCUGAUCUAGAUGUGUUUUCAUAGUGACUCCCAGGCAAGCCUUGUCUGGCCCUGAUACCCCCAUCUUCCCUGCAACUCAGGUCAUCUACAAAAAGUUCCAUGUGCCCUGCCCUCUGCCCCUCAACCUCGCCAACAUCACGGGCAACGUCAGCCUCAUGGAGGUCACCAAGGAGGAGGCUCAGCUGCAGGCUGAAACAGAGGCCGCAGCCUUCUGCACCCCGAGUUACUUCACACUCAACUCACAGGUUCCAACAGGCCGGGGCAGGGGCUAUGGGCCGGGUGAGAGUGAAGGGCUGCCCUGACGCAGUCACCAUGUCUAUCUAGACAGCAUAUACCAUCCCCAUCAUGGCCUUCGCCUUCGUCUGCCAUCCCGAGGUGCUGCCCAUCUAUACGGAGCUCAAGGAGUAGGUGUCUAUGGUUGCAAGGGGGGUGGCUGCCUUAAACUGGUUUGGGGAGAAGGAACGUGGUCCUGAUAGGGUGGGGGCAGGGCGGGGUGGGGAGUGACAGGAGCCAAGUCACUUUAUCAAAGAUCUCCAUGGCUUCCAUGAGGGGCGACUGGGGGCAAGGAGGAGAUGUCCUCAGCUGCCAAAUGGUGAGGGUGUGGUGCCAGAGAGGCCCCAGGGCAUACGGGGAUCUCCGGUGUGGCCCAGCUUGGCACCCAUCCCCUCCCCUGCUUCCCCAAAGCCCCUCCAAGAGGAAGAUGCAGCACAUCUCCAACCUGUCCAUCGCCGUCAUGUAUGUCAUGUACUUCCUGGCUGCCCUCUUCGGCUACCUCACCUUCUACGGUAUGGCUGGACCGUGGGGGCAGAGGCAGAGGCCAGGCUGGGGGGCAAGGGGCUGGCCAGUGGCCAUGGCACCCUGCAUACUGGAGGUGCUAACUAGGUGCGUGAUGCCUAACUGUGCCCUACAGCUGUGGAGGUGAGUCUGUUGCCACUUCCCACAGUGUCAGGGUCAACCCAGGCUCAGAGCCCAUCCCCCUCCCUGGGCCACCUGCUGACCAUCCUCCCUGCCUGCCGCAGACGGGGUGGAGUCGGAGCUACUGCACACCUACAGCAAGGUGGACCCAUUUGACGUGCUGAUCCUCUGUGUGCGUGUGGCCGUGCUGACGGCAGUCACACUCACAGUGCCGAUCGUUCUGUUUCCGGUGAGCCGGUGGGCAGGUGGACCGACGCAGGGUGGGACUUAUGGAGCUGACAGACUGGUGACUCUUCCCACCCCCAUCCCCCAGGUGCGCCGUGCCAUCCAGCAGAUGCUGUUUAAGAACCAGGAGUUCAGCUGGCUGCGGCACAUACUCAUUGCCAUCGGCCUGCUCACUUGUAUCAACUUGCUGGUUAUCUUCGCUCCCAACAUCCUGGGCAUCUUCGGGGUCAUUGGUGAGGGUCUGGCCCAGCUGUAUAUAGAGGCAGGGCAUUGGCCAGAGAAUUUCCUAUCUAAAUCCUGGCAGAUUCCUGAGAUCAUACCCUACCUUUAGUGACAGCUGCUGGCCAUGUGUACAGCUUGGCUUCCUGUCUGAGAUUUUUGUCCUGAAGGCUAUUCUAAUCCCUUCUGAGGGCUCAAAACCAGAGUCUGUUCCCCCUUGCUGAGGGAUGGGGUGGAGCCCGGAUGCCAGGGACCUCCACAAAGGGUCUCAUUGGGUCUUGUCCCCAUUUCACAUAUGAGGAAACUGAAGUCCAUAGUGAUUAAGGGAGUAGCAGAGCCAUACGGCUGGUAAGUGGGGGGCCUUGAUUUAGCUCUAGGAUCAUGGAACUAUAGGUUCAGUGCUCUGUCCACUGUCUCAUCCCAGUUGGGGCUCUAAGGUAGAAAAUCAGACAAUUCUGAGACAUCUUUGGAGUGGCCCAACUCACAAGACUGACUCCUCAGCCCAACUCUGCAGGGACCAAAACACAGACCUGGGGACUGAUUGUCAUGGAUAGCAUAGACAUGACUAUAGGUUCUCUGUGGCCAAAAUCUGACUCAAAAUGAUUUAAGCAAAGAGGAAGGUAUUGGCUUAAAUAAUGGAAAAGCCUUCAGGAAUAGCUAUAUCUAGGAGCCCGAUAUCUUCAAGGCUUUGUCUUUAUCUUUUGGCUUACCUUUCCUCUUUGCGAGCUUCAUUCACUGACAGAUUCUUCUACUGCCAACAGCACUAGCUUUCUAUCCAGUUGGACAGAGAAUGGGGGGCAGGGGGACUGGUGGGCUCUCCGGAAUCAGGCAGAGCUCUCAAGUAGAGUCUCAAGAUGAGACUUCCCCAGCAAGGAAUCUCUGAUCUCACUGAAGGGUUCACCCCUGGACCUUAGCCAAUAGCUGGCUAUAUCUCAUUCUUUGCAGGUGCCACAUCUGCCCCAUGCCUCAUCUUCAUCUUCCCCGCCAUCUUCUACUUUCGCAUCAUACCCACCGAGAAGGAACCUGCAAAGUCUACCCCCAAAAUCUUGGUGCGAGGAUCCUGGAGGUUGGUGGGCUGGUGUGGGGCUGAGGGAGCUGCCCUGACCUCACACCUGACUCUUGACUCCCUGACCCCAUAGGCCCUUUGUUUCGCUGUGCUUGGCCUCUUGCUGAUGACCAUGAGCUUGAGCUUCAUCAUCAUUGAUUGGGUGUCAGGGACCGGCCGGCAUGGAGGAAGCCACUAGGAAGACCCCCGGCCUGUUCUGUCUACUCGUCCAAGUACCCCUGCCCAGAGUCUUCAGCCCCUGCUCCCAUCCAGUGGCCAGUCAGCAGGGAGAAGAAAGAUGUGGUUAACACUAUGGCAUUUGUCCCCUGCCUCACGUCUUCUCUGUGGAAGGUUUUUGUUACAGCCAGGACCAAGGCCCUUGGACCACUACCUUGCUGGGCUCCCGGGCUACAGGGGCUUCCAGAGUUGGGAGCAGGGUGGGGCUGUGCCCUUGCUCCCUUCCUGUUGCCUCAGAUCCCACUCAGGCCCCUGCCCUCCUUGCACAGAUGCAAACACUGAGGUCCAACAGCUGCCUACACAGUCUGUAGGGCACAUAGAGUUGGAGCCCAAGCCUGCAGCCAUCUCCCCACCUUGCUGCUGGACCUUGGUCUGCACUCUGGGGCCUCAUCUCCCUCAAUGCACUUGCCUUCCUCCACUUCUGUCCCGGAGGCCCCUUUCAGUCACUUGGACUCAAGCGCUUGGAUACUCUCGUCUCCUUCUCCCAUCCCCACCACCAGAAGCAGACCACCCCCCAUACCUGAAGCCAUCAGGUUCUUUUAAAUGUGAGGCUGGUGUGGGCACCCCCAGGGACCUGCCCCUUCACCAGUCCUGGGGAGGCUGGGACUCCCCCCACCCCAAGUCUGGGCCAUAGCUCACAUUCCAUUUCUGGGAGAAGAAAGAGGCUGGGGCCCAGAGCGUCUCUGCCCCUGGGAGCCAAAGACCCCAGGGGCUGAUCCGGGGUAGGAGUGGAGAAGCUGUCAGCUCCCUUUUAUAAAUAUUAUACAUAAUACCAGC
Molecule: long non-coding RNA, 14059 nt
Filed under: Lynx pardinus (Iberian lynx)
Lineage: Eukaryota; Metazoa; Chordata; Mammalia; Carnivora; Felidae
Source: RNAcentral